GAUGAAGAACGUAGCGAAAUGCGAUAAGUAAUGUGAAUUGCAGAAUUCAGUGAAUCAUCGAAUCUUUGAACGCACAUUGCGCCCCCUGGUAUUCCGGGGGGCAUGCCUGUCCGAGCGUCAUUACAACCCUCAAGCUCAGCUUGGUAUUGGGCCCCGCCGCUCCGGCGGGCCCUAAAGUCAGUGGCGGUGCCGUCCGGCUCCGAGCGUAGUAAUUCUUCUCGCUCUGGAGGUCCGGUCGUGUGCUCGCCAGCAACCCCCAAUUUUUUUCAGGUUGACCACGGAUCAGGUAGGGAUACCCGCUGAACUUAAGCAUAUCAAUAAGCGGAGGA
Molecule: unclassified non-coding RNA, 329 nt
Filed under: soil metagenome
Description: partial contains 5.8S ribosomal RNA, internal transcribed spacer 2, and large subunit ribosomal RNA
Rfam family: 5.8S ribosomal RNA (bases 1-120)
Source: RNAcentral